This 273-nucleotide long non-coding RNA is filed under the name Oryctolagus cuniculus (rabbit). RNAcentral describes it as "lncRNA (ENSOCUG00000039539.1)". The record is from RNAcentral. Lineage: Eukaryota; Metazoa; Chordata; Mammalia; Lagomorpha; Leporidae.
AUGGGAUUCUCACUUGAAGAAGAAGAAAUUGAGGAACUGUGCAAACACCUGCCAAUUAAUGAUGAGAAAAGAGUUCAAAUGGAUUCACUUCUGAGUGAAGUAGAUGAAUUUUUAGGAAAAGAAAUUGACCAUGAGGACCUGGAAAACAUUCUUAAAAACAUAGGAUUAAGACAUCGCCUGAAGGAAAACAAUGUCUUAAUGAAAAGUUUGCCAAUUGAUUGUAAGCAUUUAAUUUAAUUAUUCACUUAUCUAAUAAAUGUUUAUUGGUUUUCA